Molecule: ribosomal RNA, 253 nt
Filed under: uncultured bacterium
Lineage: Bacteria
Description: partial 16S ribosomal RNA
Rfam family: Bacterial small subunit ribosomal RNA
Source: RNAcentral
UACGAAGGGGGCUAGAGUUGUUCGGAAUUACUGGGCGUAAAGGGCGCGUAGGCGGCGCGUUAAGUCAGGUGUGAAAGCCCUGGGCUCAACCCAGGAAUUGCACUUGAUACUGACGUGCUUGAAUCCGGAAGAGGAUGACGGAAUUCCCAGUGUAGAGGUGAAAUUCAUUGAGAUUGGGAAGAACACCAGUGGCGAAGGCGGUCAUCUGGUACGGUAUUGACGAUGAGGCGCGAAAGAGUGGGGAGCAAACAGG